ACCCAGGGUUAUUGCCUCAGUACGGCGAGUGAAGCGGCAAAAGCUCAAAUUUGAAAUCUAGCACCUUCGGUGUUCGAGUUGUAAUUUGAAGAUGGUAACCUUGGGUUUGGCUCUUGUCUAUGUUCCUUGGAACAGGACGUCAUAGAGGGUGAGAAUCCCGUCUGAUGAGAUGCCCAUUCCUAUGUAAGGUGCUAUCGAAGAGUCGAGUUGUUUGGGAAUGCAGCUCUAAGUGGGUGGUAAAUUCCAUCUAAAGCUAAAUAUUGGCGAGAGACCGAUAGCGAACAAGUACAGUGAUGGAAAGAUGAAAAGAACUUUGAAAAGAGAGUGAAAAAGUACGUGAAAUUGUUGAAAGGGAAGGGCAUUAGAUCAGACUUGGUGUUUUACGAUUAUCUUCUCUUCUUGAGUUGUGCACUCGUAUUUCACUGGGCCAGCAUCGAUUCGGAUGGCAAGAUAAUGGCAGUUGAAUGUGGCUUCACUUCGGUGGAGUGUUAUAGCUUCUGCUGAUAUUGCCUGUCUGGAUCGAGGGCUGCGUCUUUUGACUAGGAUGCUGGCGUAAUGAUCUAAUGCCGCCCGUCUGA
RNAcentral lists this ribosomal RNA (578 nucleotides) under Hansenula anomala. RNAcentral's name for it is "eukaryotic LSU rRNA". It matches the Rfam family "Eukaryotic large subunit ribosomal RNA", at positions 64 to 656 of the family's 3401-position model. Lineage: Eukaryota; Fungi; Ascomycota; Saccharomycetes; Phaffomycetales; Wickerhamomycetaceae. The record is from RNAcentral.